RNAcentral lists this ribosomal RNA (705 nucleotides) under uncultured Bacilli bacterium. Its description in RNAcentral is "bacterial SSU rRNA". It matches the Rfam family "Bacterial small subunit ribosomal RNA", at positions 45 to 720 of the family's 1533-position model. Lineage: Bacteria; Bacillati; Bacillota; Bacilli. The record is from RNAcentral.
UGCCUAAUACAUGCAAGGUCGAACGCUUCUUUCCUCCCGAGUGCUUGCACUCAACUGGAAAGAGGAGUGGCGGGCGGGUGAGUAACACGUGGGUAACCUACCCAUCAGAGGGGGAUAACACUUGGAAACAGGUGCUAAUACCGCAUAACAGUUUAUGCCGCAUGGCAUAAGAGUGAAAGGCGCUUUCGGGUGUCGCUGAUGGAUGGACCCGCGGUGCAUUAGCCAGUUGGUGAGGUAACGGCUCACCAAGGCCACGAUGCAUAGCCGACCUGAGAGGGUGAUCGGCCACACUGGGACUGAGACACGGCCCAGACUCCUACGGGAGGCAGCAGUAGGGAAUCUUCGGCAAUGGACGAAAGUCUGACCGAGCAACGCCGCGUGAGUGAAGAAGGUUUUCGGAUCGUAAAACUCUGUUGUUAGAGAAGAACAAGGACGUUAGUAACUGAACGUCCCCUGACGGUAUCUAACCAGAAAGCCACGGCUAACUACGUGCCAGCAGCCGCGGUAAUACGUAGGUGGCAAGCGUUGUCCGGAUUUAUUGGGCGUAAAGCGAGCGCAGGCGGUUUCUUAAGUCUGAUGUGAAAGCCCCCGGCUCAACCGGGGAGGGUCAUUGGAAACUGGGAGACUUGAGUGCAGAAGAGGAGAGUGGAAUUCCAUGUGUAGCGGUGAAAUGCGUAGAUAUAUGGAGGAACACCAGUGGCGAAG